Long non-coding RNA from Oryzias melastigma (Indian medaka), 1385 nucleotides. RefSeq lists it as uncharacterized. NCBI's taxonomy places the organism in Eukaryota, Metazoa, Chordata, Actinopteri, Beloniformes, Adrianichthyidae. The record is from RefSeq and is a predicted model, not a curated record. The transcript has 3 exons.
AAAUCCUUUAAAUGUAAAAUUAAAAGCACGUUUUGAUUCUUCAAUCAAAGAGCGGGAAAAAUGGGCCAAAGAGCCACUUAUGGCUCCGGAGCCGCAGGUUGCAGAUUUAUGAGGAGAAGGUGUGAAACGGGAUUACUGGAUAUUCAGACUAGCGUGAGUUAAUCCUCUGGGUUAGAAUGACAUCGGGUUAGCUGCAGAGCAGACACGUUUGUUCUCCAGACUGGUGCUGCUUGUUGGGUCAGGUUCCUGCGACUCCAGAACCGUCUGCAGGUCUGUAAACAGUCUGUUUCUUCUACACCUGAGCUGCUUCUGCGUUUCUGAUGCCCCCCAGCUGCAGACUAGACCAGACUCCUCUGGAUCUACAGAUGGAGCGUUUUUACGGUGGCAGACGUCACAUGAAGAACCACAAGAAGCCAACAAAGCACAGCAGGAACCGGUUUCAGGGAGUGACCGAGCUGAUCAAGAGGAGCAAAGUGAAGCAGAUUGGAUUUCAGGGUUAGGAGAGAGGAGCCUUCAUGGAGGGAGACCUGAAACCAGCAGUGUACCAGCCGAGCUGAUCCUUCUGCUGAAGGAUCUAAAAUCCACUCCAGAACUUGGAGACUGCUGCUCCAUGUCCUGAAAGGAGACAAGAUGAACAGGCUUUUCAGCUCAAAGGACGCCAACAUGACGGCCCCCCCAGCCAACCCCGUCCUCUGCUGCGAAGGUUUGGGAGCAGCCAUGUCUCCAUGUUCAUUUAUGGUCUGCACGCUCCUCCAGACCCGGAUCACGGCUGAACCGGUCCGAUCCUUCCAGGCCUUAAAAGGAGCUGAAUCCGCCUGAGACCUGCUGCUUCUCCUCUGCAUCCUCUCACUCAGACUCACGCUGCUGAGGCUGACCCGCCCCUCAGCUUCACACGUCCCGUAGUGGGAGGUGUGGGCGGGGCCAAAGCUGCAGGUCCUGGUGGACGUUCUGUCCUGUUUGUUGUUCAUUAAACUUCAGGUUCACUGAUUGUUCCUCUGCAGUGUGUGGGAGCGGCUGAUCUGUGUGCCUUCCACUGGGUCAAAGGUCGGGGGAAAGGUGCAGGUGGGAGGAGCAAGCGACAGGUUCAACCCGCCUGCUGUUGCUUCUCAAACACAAAAAGACAGAACCCGAUUGUAAACGGCAGUCUUUGGAUCUCGGCGGCUCCUCCAGCAGCUUCCUCUGAUGACCCACUUUAGUGUUUCUAAUUUGAAGCUGCACUUGAUCUGAAGGAAUCCUGUUCUGGAGGAUCUCCAUCCAUCUCCACUUCAGUGAAGACUCUUCUUCCUGAGACUCAUUUUGUAUGAAUUUAUACGGUUUAACAUUUAACACAAAGUUCAUUCAUUUAAAGUGACAAUUUUUUUAUUACAAUAAAAUGUUCCCCGUAG